UAAGCGGAGGAAAAGAAACUAACAAGGAUUCCCCUAGUAGCGGCGAGCGAAGCGGGAAGAGCUCAAAUUUAUAAUCUGGCACCUUCGGUGUCCGAGUUGUAAUCUCUAGAAAUGUUUUCCGCGUUGGACCGCACACAAGUCUGUUGGAAUACAGCGGCAUAGUGGUGAGACCCCCGUAUAUGGUGCGGACGCCCAGCGCUUUGUGAUACAUUUUCGAAGAGUCGAGUUGUUUGGGAAUGCAGCUCAAAUUGGGUGGUAAAUUCCAUCUAAAGCUAAAUAUUGGCGAGAGACCGAUAGCGAACAAGUACCGUGAGGGAAAGAUGAAAAGCACUUUGGAAAGAGAGUUAACAGUACGUGAAAUUGUUGGAAGGGAAACGCUUGAAGUCAGACUUGCUUGCCGAGCAAUCGGUUUGCAGGCCAGCAUCAGUUUUCCGGGAUGGAUAAUGGUAGAGAGAAGGUAGCAGUUUCGGCUGUGUUAUAGCUCUCUGCUGGAUACAUCUUGGGGGACUGAGGAACGCAGUGUGCCUUUGGCGGGGGUUUCGACCUCUUCACACUUAGGAUGCUGGUGGAAUGGCUUUAAACGACCCGUCUUGAAACAC
Molecule: ribosomal RNA, 599 nt
Filed under: Rhodotorula mucilaginosa
Lineage: Eukaryota; Fungi; Basidiomycota; Microbotryomycetes; Sporidiobolales; Sporidiobolaceae
Description: eukaryotic LSU rRNA
Rfam family: Eukaryotic large subunit ribosomal RNA
Source: RNAcentral